GGCGUGGUAGCAUAGCGGUUAAUGUAUUCCCGAGUUAGAGAGAAGACCCAGGUUCGACUCCUGGCCCGUCA
RNAcentral lists this transfer RNA (71 nucleotides) under Apiosordaria backusii. RNAcentral's name for it is "tRNA-OTHER". It matches the Rfam family "tRNA". Rfam says of the family: Transfer RNA (tRNA) molecules are approximately 80 nucleotides in length. Their secondary structure includes four short double-helical elements and three loops (D, anti-codon, and T loops). Lineage: Eukaryota; Fungi; Ascomycota; Sordariomycetes; Sordariales; Lasiosphaeriaceae. The record is from RNAcentral.